Molecule: transfer RNA, 76 nt
Filed under: Parasutterella muris
Lineage: Bacteria; Pseudomonadati; Pseudomonadota; Betaproteobacteria; Burkholderiales; Sutterellaceae
Description: Parasutterella sp. NM82_D38 tRNA-Pro
Rfam family: tRNA
About the family: Transfer RNA (tRNA) molecules are approximately 80 nucleotides in length. Their secondary structure includes four short double-helical elements and three loops (D, anti-codon, and T loops).
Source: RNAcentral
CAGGGCGUAGCUCAGUUGGUAGAGUUCUCGGUUUGGAACCGAGCGGUCGUUGGUUCGAGUCCAACUGCCCUGACCA